AGAAUCAACGCUGGCGGCGUGCCUAACGACAUGCAAGUCGAACGAGAAAGUGGAGCAAUCCAUGAGUAAAGUGGCGCACGGGUGAGUAACACGUGACUAACCUACCUUUUAGUGGGGGAUAACCUAGGGAAACCUGGGCUAAUACCGCAUAAUACCUACGGGUCAAAGCAGCAAUGCGCUGAAAGAGGGGGUCGCGGUCGAUUAGUUAGUUGGCAGGGUAAUGGCCUACCAAGACUGUGAUCGAUAUCCGGCCUGAGAGGGCGCACGGACACACUGGAACUGAAACACGGUCCAGACUCCUACGGGAGGCAGCAGUGGGGAAUUUUGCGCAAUGGGGGAAACCCUGACGCAGCAACGCCGCGUGGAGGAUGAAGUCCCUUGGGACGUAAACUCCUUUCGAUCGGGACGAUAAUGACGGUACCGGAAGAAGAAGCCCCGGCUAACUUCGUGCCAGCAGCCGC
This 461-nucleotide ribosomal RNA is filed under the name uncultured bacterium. Its description in RNAcentral is "SSU rRNA". It matches the Rfam family "Bacterial small subunit ribosomal RNA", at positions 26 to 518 of the family's 1533-position model. The record is from RNAcentral.